This 583-nucleotide small RNA is filed under the name human gut metagenome. The record is from RNAcentral.
AUUAAACUCGAUGGUGCAUUAUUCUAGUUGUACUGUCUAUUAUGAAGGUGGGGCUAAAAAUCCACACAUGAUUUAUUAGAUAAAGUUUCUUAUGUCGUGCGCAAAAUGCCAGUUUUGCGUGGGUAUGGGAAGUAAAGAAUUUAGGAUAGAAUAUAACGGCAUAUAUUUGGAUUCCUAUUUUCGUUAUCACCAUUUUUUACUUGUUGUGAUAUAAUCUAUUUUGAGUGUACAUAUCAAAUUGUAUGCGAUAAAUCUGUUUUGAGUGGUAAUCUUGGGAUUAGUCAGUAUUUUAUAAAAAAGCGCGGCCACGUUUUCUUAUGAAAGAUUAUGAAAUCAUUAUUGCAAAAGAAACUAAUAAUAGAUCAAGUACAUUAAGGAAAACUUCUAGAAUGUUUGUUUCAAUCAAGAAGCUUGGAAAUUUAGGGAUUAAGGUACGGAUUUUAGUGGCGAUCUAGCUUUCCGAAACUUUUAAGGAAUGCUUUUUUAAAUGGAAACAGCUAAGCAGUAAUGCUUAGUAAAAAGUAGAGAAAUUCUGCUAGACCUUAUACCGUAAAAUUUACUUAAAUUUCUACCAUCUUAAAUU